This 1649-nucleotide long non-coding RNA is filed under the name Rattus norvegicus (Norway rat). RNAcentral's name for it is "long non-coding RNA NONRATT031658". Lineage: Eukaryota; Metazoa; Chordata; Mammalia; Rodentia; Muridae. The record is from RNAcentral.
CUUAUGUGCAUUUUGAGUGCCUGGGUCUUAUGUGCAUUUUGUCUUUGCAGAUGAAAUGGUCAAGAUGAGUGAAAUGAUGGAGAAUGUGGAGUUGCUCACAGGAAAAAAAGUGAAUGCUGAUCAAAUAGGUGAUGUUUUGGAAGACAUAGGGAUAGCUCUCACACUUAAGGAACUCUGGGACCUGAAGAAGACUCUACCAAUUACCUGUGAGCAUUUCCAAUUCGAACUCAGCUUCGGGGAGGCAGGGGUUGAACAUGUGCAUUGUGGGGGCUAGCUUGGAGUCAUUGAGUAUACAUUACUCAUAAGUUUGCAUUCAACACAUAUUGAGUAUGUCAUAAAUGAUAAGGUUAAAGCCACAAGUCUUUGCUUCCAUGGAGACGAUUUGACAUAGGGUCUUACUCUAUUGGGACUGAAUUUGAGAACUCCUUAAGAAAGAAAUUAAUUCAUGAAUCGAGAUCUGACUACAAGUUUUUGAGUUGGGACAUUAGUUCUGUAAUGUCUGAUAACCCUGAAGCACGAAGAAAUUAAGGACAGGAGAGGAAGCAAGACGAACGGAACAUGUUAGAUCAGUAUCAGCCUAACAAAGUGGGACAUUUAAAACAGCCAACCCUUCACGUUAUUGGUAAAGCUAAGUUGAAGAAAGUUGUAUGUAUAAGACUGAAUACACCACAUCUACAAGGUCACUGCCUUCGUGGUGGUGGUCCACAGUCACGUUAUGGGUGCCAGUACUGCUUGGUCUGUGACACUGACUGUGUCUUCUAUUACAGCGGAUAAUAAAGUGUACCAGAACCGAUUGUUGGAUAGUUUAAAAACUUUUCACAGUGAGUAACAAGUACAAUGCCAAGUAAAACAAGCCUUCAAGUUUGUUUCUUUCUGAAAAGUCAACUUAUUACUUAAUGGUAGCCAUAGCCUGUUUCUGCUCAGGGUUUUUCCACCGCACUCCUCUGUCUCUCACGAAUACUACAGGCCAUAGCUCCAUUCUGGCCUUCUCCCACCUAAGUUGCACUGAUCCUCUUGCCUUGAUCUCACAACUUGAACAUGGAAACAUUUCUCACCCCUAGUGUUAUAGUCUAUAGUUUAUCAGGAUUUUUUAACCGCACUUUAUGUCUUUUAUUUUAAAUUUAUGGAGAUAAUCUGAAGGUUUCAAACCUGGCAGCCACAGUUAUGGUUGCUUCUGACAUCUCUACUAUGGAUAAGGAACAGCUAACAAGCCUUGGCCACUCCUGUUUCGCCAGACAUCUACUAAAAAUGUUGGCAGCAUGUCUCGUGACAUGUAUCCUUUCACACCCUUCACCCCCCCCCCCGCCACUUGCUUUUAUUCUUUCUUUAAACAUUCACAGCCUUGCUUUCUUUUCACCUGUAUGACCCAAUCCCUGGAACUAAGUAGAAUUUUAAACAUUGAAGUGUAAUUUUACAUUUUUUUCUUAUUUUGUCUAUUCCUUUCUCAAGGAGGAAAAGGUUAUACAAAUAAACUAGACAGCAUCAUGGAUCACCUGAACUACAAUGUUGAGGAAAAAGACAUGAAGGAACUACGGAACUACUUGAAAGUCGACGGUAUUUUAUUUACCACUAUGACUUCCUUUAAGAGGAAUCACAGAACUCUUCUGGUAGACUCUCUAGGGGGAUUCCCAGUCAAGUGUACUUAGGAA